CUCCAAAAUACAAGAUAUCAGUAGUAAGAGUGUGAGGAAAGAAGCCUCCCACAACUAAGCCAAGGCAAUGCCGACGAGUGCUUCUUCCCCGCCAGCGACAAGUGCUCCCAUUCCUCCUCUGAAGAAACCGCCUGAUCCUCCUCCUCCCCUCCCCCCCUUCUCCUGAGCUCCUCCUCCAAGGCCCCGCUACUGAAGGGGCAUCUCCCUCUUCGGGAGCAGCCUCUUCUCCCCUCGACAAAAGCCAAACUCGCACUGCUACCUCCUUGCAAGCGCAUAAAGUCUCACCCUUUUGGGCAAGCCUCCUCAGGCAAUCCUCUUCAGAUGACCCUUGGCGUUUCGACACGGAGCGCGGUCCUAGAUCCAGAGGAAGUGCAGAAUGCAAGGAGUCACUGACAACUCUACAAUUUUUUCGGCAAAGCACGCCCUUUGGAGUUCAUCAAAGGGGAGCCAUGGUUCCUCCGCGGACAUGCUCUCAACCUCUUCCCAAGGAGAGCAAACUUCCGACCUUUGAAGGAAAACGUAAAGUCUGCCCCCAAUCUGGAUCCAUUUUCCUAGCCUCCCCAUUGAACUGAUGUACCAUCGCGUUCUCCUCCAAAUCGCCGAUAGCAUUGGAUCAGCCGUCAAAGUUGAUGCUGUCACCACCUCUGGAACUAGAGCGAGGCUUGUUGGCCAUAAAAUCGAUCAAUGCAACCAAAGCAAGCUGCCGGAGCAAACGGCCGCCCCUGGCAAGGAUGCCGCAGGUGGGCAUUGGCUCUGUUACAGAGAUUGGCACGAACCGAGAACAUGGCCUACUGUACGGGCCCUGGUUCAAAGUCCAACACAAAUCCUGUUACAGUAGCCGUUUUGGCGCAACAUCGGUCCACUCCAGCGCCUCACCUCAGCCCACUGAACCCGCUCCGGCCACCUCGCAGCCUGGUGAAUCCCGUACCAAACGGGCCUUUGCUUUCUCCUGUUUCCCGCCAUCCCGUUCCAUCUUCGGGUCACCCUUUCAAACCAGCAUUAAACCCCGAUGGUGCUUCCCCAGAUUGUAUUAGUUCUUCCCCUCCUUUCCAAUACUGCGUCAUUGGAGAUGCGCCCCUCCACCCUGACAUGCCACCGGUGCUAACGUCUUAGGAUGCCGCCUCCUCGACUGCCACACCCUCCUUUGUAAAGGGACGACAACCCCUCGCCCACCCUGCAAACAAGCACAACCCCGUUUCCUCACGCUUCUCUAGAUGUCAUCGCCUCGCCCCAUUUCCUCACCAUUAUCCCUCAACCCACAUUCUCUAGAUGGAGUAGUUUGGCCGGCUCAAGGUCGGUCUGGUGGAAUCAUCGUCGCUUGGAACUCCGGUACUCUCAAAGCUUCCCCUGUUAGUAUCUCACAACAAUCUUUGCACUUAAUGGUGGAAUAGAGAGGUACGCACCCCUGACCUCUCUCAGCAGUCUACAUAAUUACUGAUGCUUCUCAACGCAAUGCUCACUGGCGUUUUCUUUCGAAUUUUGAUCUCUCGGAUCUACCUUGGUUGAUUUGUGUGGAUUUUAACUGUCUUAAUUCUACUUCUAAUAAACUGGGGGGUGAUACACCCUUCUUAUCCUGUCUUUUCUAGACAGAUUCACCUGAAAAUGGCUUGCUAAAGCCAAGAUCAAUUGUCUCAGGGAUGAUGAUAAAACACCAGCUUCUUCCAUAACACAAUCAGACAAAGGAGAUCUAUUUAUAUUCACCACAUUAAGAGGGAGGAUGGAUCCAUGGGGGAGGACUUGGCCUCUAUAUCCUCUGUUUUCACUGACAUGAUCUCGCUCUUGUCUCUGCAAGAGUUCGUAUUCUAGACCUUUGUCCAAUGAAAGUUUUGUGUUUUCGUUUUAUGUUUCAUCUUUUAUACCAACUCUCUUUAUAUGGCUUAGGUUAUUCAUCAAGUUACACUCAAGUUGUUCCGUUCCUUGA
This is a long non-coding RNA of Musa acuminata subsp. malaccensis (wild Malaysian banana), 1921 nucleotides long. RefSeq lists it as uncharacterized. The record is from RefSeq and is a predicted model, not a curated record. Lineage: Eukaryota; Viridiplantae; Streptophyta; Magnoliopsida; Zingiberales; Musaceae.